CCAACCGAAAGACCAAACAGCUUUAUAAGCAAACAACAUAAAGCAGCUGACAUAUAAUAAAAAUGUUUAUAUACAAACGUAUACCAGCUACAAUAAGAAGAACGCAGUAAGUGUGUGUGUGUGCAACAUAUUAAAAGCAGAAGCAUGAUUCCUCUUAUGUUUACGAGUCUUUGCAAGUUAUUUAGAAGAGUAAAAUCAAAACCAAAGAGAAACUGGAAGGGUAACAAAAAAACAUAACCCGAGUUUUCUUUUAUAAGAAAGUAUAAGGUGAAGAGUUCGAUUUAAGUUCUAGUUCAGUCCUUUUUUUAGCUCUAGUUCAGUUCAAGAUCAUUUCUAGUCCAGUUCUAGAUCAGUUGUUGUUUAGUUUCAGUGUUGUUCUUUAG
Lucilia cuprina (Australian sheep blowfly) is the source of this 383-nucleotide long non-coding RNA. RefSeq lists it as uncharacterized. The transcript is spliced from 3 exons. The record is from RefSeq and is a predicted model, not a curated record. NCBI's taxonomy places the organism in Eukaryota, Metazoa, Arthropoda, Insecta, Diptera, Calliphoridae.